CCUACGGGGGGCAGCAGUGGGGAAUAUUGGACAAUGGGGGGAACCCUGAUCCAGCCAUGCCGCGUGUGUGAAGAAGGCCCUCGGGUUGUAAAGCACUUUCAGUGAGGAAGAACGCCUGGUGGUUAAUACCCAUCAGGAAAGACAUCACUCACAGAAGAAGCACCGGCUAACUCCGUGCCAGCAGCCGCGGUAAUACGGAGGGUGCGAGCGUUAAUCGGAAUUACUGGGCGUAAAGCGCGCGUAGGUGGCUUGAUAAGCCGGUUGUGAAAGCCCCGGGCUCAACCUGGGAACGGCAUCCGGAACUGUCAAGCUAGAGUGCAGGAGAGGAAGGUAGAAUCCCCGGUGUAGCGGUGAAAUGCGUAGAGAUCGGGAGGAAUACCAGUGGCGAAGGCGGCCUUCUGGACUGACACUGACACUGAGGUGCGAAAGCGUGGGUAGCAAACAGGAUUAGAUACCCCAGUAGUC
Molecule: ribosomal RNA, 465 nt
Filed under: Vreelandella stevensii
Lineage: Bacteria; Pseudomonadati; Pseudomonadota; Gammaproteobacteria; Oceanospirillales; Halomonadaceae
Description: partial 16S ribosomal RNA
Rfam family: Bacterial small subunit ribosomal RNA
Source: RNAcentral